AAUGCAAAGGGAAUGGAGAAAGAGACAGGUUCCCCGGUGCCAGCCUGAUCCGACUCUCAGCAGCGCCACCCUCCGGUCUCAGGCAGAAGCGCACCCACGUUUCAAAAAUCUUGUUGCAAAGUGCGAAACGACUGAUUAUUUUGCCCAGUAAAUCACCAGAAUUAACAGAAACUAUGCCAUGUGAGUCACAGCGGUGAGGCAUGACGCUAAGCCAUCCAAUAAACACGAACACCGGCUUGAAUGCGGAUCCACUGACAUUAACCUAUAUUUGACAAACAUCAGAAGAGAAGAGGCAGAAACAGGAAAAUCCUAUUACUUCCAUUUCAUACAAAAACGCACACGAAUGGCAAUACAACGAAAAUCCUGAAGUUGCCAGAUCGCAGAGUGUAGCAAGUGUUUCCUUUCAAUACUGGGCAGAGACAACGCAAACUGUGAAAGCCUGAAUCCUCCUUUCUCACUCCCAGAACGUACUUCGAUUGAUUUAAAGAGCAUCUGAAUUCCACGAAGAAUCCGGUAAAU
Molecule: long non-coding RNA, 519 nt
Organism: Mauremys reevesii (Reeves's turtle)
Lineage: Eukaryota; Metazoa; Chordata; Testudines; Geoemydidae
Exons: 3
Source: RefSeq, a predicted model, not a curated record